Molecule: ribosomal RNA, 382 nt
Filed under: uncultured eukaryote
Lineage: Eukaryota
Description: partial 18S ribosomal RNA
Rfam family: Eukaryotic small subunit ribosomal RNA
Source: RNAcentral
CAAUAGCGUAUAUUAAAGUUGUUGCAGUUAUAAAGCUCGUAGUUGGAUUUCUGGUUGAAGCGACCGGUCGGGCGUUGAUUCGUCUGCACUGGAGUCGGUUUUGGCCAUCCUCUAGGAAAGUGCGUCUGGUAUUAAGUUAUCGGGCGUAUGAUCCUGGUCUUUUACUGUGAAAAAAUUAGAGUGUUUAAAGCAGGCCUUCGCCUUGAAUACAUUAGCAUGGAAUAAUAAGAUAGGACUUUGGUCUAUUUUGUUGGUUUGCAGACCGAAGUAAUGAUUAAUAGGGAUAGUUGGGGGUAUUUAUAUUCCGAUGUCAGAGGUGAAAUUCUUAGAUUUUCGGAAGAUAAACUUAUGCGAAAGCAUUUACCAAGGAUGUUUUCAUUAA